GCUGUAAUGGCAGGUCAGCAUACUGCCGUGAAUACGUUCCCGGGCCCUUGUACACACCGCCCGUCACACCAUGAGAGUUGGGAAUACCCGAAGCCUGUGAGCUAACGAAAGAGGCAGCAGUCGAAGGUAGAAUCAAUGAUUGGGGUGAAGUCGUAACAAGGUAGC
RNAcentral lists this ribosomal RNA (165 nucleotides) under uncultured bacterium. RNAcentral's name for it is "partial 16S ribosomal RNA". It matches the Rfam family "Bacterial small subunit ribosomal RNA", at positions 1335 to 1500 of the family's 1533-position model. The record is from RNAcentral.